Molecule: ribosomal RNA, 454 nt
Filed under: uncultured bacterium
Lineage: Bacteria
Description: partial 16S ribosomal RNA
Rfam family: Bacterial small subunit ribosomal RNA
Source: RNAcentral
GAUGAACGCUGACAGAAUGCUUAACACAUGCAAGUCAACUUGAACUUCGGUUUGGGUGGCGGACGGGUGAGUAACGCGUAAAGAACUUGCCUCACAGAUAGGGACAACAUUUGGAAACGAAUGCUAAUACCUGAUAUUAUGAUUAUAUGGCAUCGUAUAAUUAUGAAAGCUAUAUGCGCUGUGAGAGAGCUUUGCGUCCCAUUAGCUAGUUGGAGAGGUAACGGCUCACCAAGGCGAUGAUGGGUAGCCGGCCUGAGGGGGUGAUCGGCCACAAGGGGACUGAGACACGGCCCUUACUCCUACGGGAGGCAGCAGUGGGGAAUAUUGGACAAUGGACCAAGAGUCUGAUCCAGCAAUUCUGUGUGCACGAUGAAGUUUUUCGGAAUGUAAAGUGCUUUCAGUUGGGAAGAAAAAAAUGACGGUACCAACAGAAGAAGUGACGGCUAAAUACGUG